GUUUAUUUGAAGUUUUGAUGGAAAGUUUUUACUUUAGAUUUCUUUAAAACAAGGAAUUUGUACAAUAGAAGCAAAGGCAGUAUUGAGUAGGUUUAUAUAAAAAUGGUUAAACCUGGCAGAUGUUACUAUUUUUUAUUAAAAACAAAAGGUAUAUGUGUUUAUUUUUUGUCUUUUGCAGAUAUGGAAACCACAAAAGAUUCUGGAUCUAACGCAGCAGGAACCAGCAUGCCCAACUAUGCGAUAAUCAUCCUUGCCAUAAUCAGUGCUUUGCAGCCAUUCUUUUUAGAAUCUUCUAUGUCAAUUGAAUCAAAAUUCACGUUCUUGCGUAGAGAAAAAAUAUAGAAUUACCAACAAAAACAAAGCUGAUAAAUAUGUACAGGUGUUGCAAAUGAAGUUUAAUUACCAAUAGACACCGGCCAUGGCUUCAAUCUCAUAAGGAACAUUUAAACAAGUUGUCAUUUUGAUUUUCACUUUUCUCCAUGCAUACAACACUGUAUCACACAUCCUAGAAGAAAGAUCAACUUCCACGCUGUUUCUAUUUACUCAUUUCAUUAUCAGUUCGUGUACUUCCUAUGAUAUGUUAUCUUCUCUUACUUGUCAUGCUUGAAGAAUAAAAUCAAUUGCAGUCCUUCUGUUUGUUUGUUUGUUUUAGUUUUUUUG
RNAcentral lists this long non-coding RNA (660 nucleotides) under Octopus vulgaris (common octopus). The record is from RNAcentral. Lineage: Eukaryota; Metazoa; Mollusca; Cephalopoda; Octopoda; Octopodidae.